GGGUCGGUGCCCGAGCGGCCAAAGGGAGCAGACUGUAAAUCUGCCGGUUCACGCCUUCGGAGGUUCAAAUCCUCCCCGGCCCACAA
RNAcentral lists this transfer RNA (86 nucleotides) under Actinomycetes bacterium. Its description in RNAcentral is "Actinobacteria bacterium tRNA-Tyr". It matches the Rfam family "tRNA". From Rfam's summary of the family: Transfer RNA (tRNA) molecules are approximately 80 nucleotides in length. The record is from RNAcentral. Lineage: Bacteria; Bacillati; Actinomycetota; Actinomycetes.